GGUCAAGCUAGAAAGGGCUAAUGGU
RNAcentral lists this ribosomal RNA (25 nucleotides) under Anabaena sp. D0752. RNAcentral describes it as "partial 23S ribosomal RNA". The record is from RNAcentral. Lineage: Bacteria; Bacillati; Cyanobacteriota; Cyanophyceae; Nostocales; Nostocaceae.